GGGGUACAUGUAAACUACAAGGUAGUGCAGAAAUAAAAGGUCUCAUUGUCAGGUAGCCCAAGAGAAAGCCUUGUGGGUGCAUAGUGCCUUAAACUAGAAAGCGCAUAAAGGAUUACAAAGUCUUCUUGAGUCUUGAAUGCUCCCUCCAUGUUCGGGUCAAGUGCUUGUCCAAAGUCUAUUGCAAAGUUCUUAAUAAGGAGUCCCUAAGUCCAUUGUCCAAUAUUCAUUCCAUGCUUAAAAGUUAUUGCAUUUUUACAUUUUUUUUUUGAAGUUUUUGCCAUUUUAGAUGAUUUUAAGAUGAAUGUGAAGGAUAACCGAUGACAUGAUUUAAUAUGUACAAAAAGCAAAGUAAAGUAAGUAAAUAACAAGAAAUAAAUUGUUAGGAGUUAGAUGCGAAAUGUAAAAGUUAGAUACGGAAUUUAAAUGUUAGAUGCGAAAUUUUAAAGUGUUAAGAGUUAAUGUUAAAUGUUAGCUGUUAAUCAAGAUUAUAAGAUAAAUUAUAAGGGAUCAAAAUUCUAAUGCUAAAUAAUUAACAAAAUAAAUUCUAAAACCAAUUAUCAAAAUUUGUUCUAACAUUAAGUGAAAUUUGGAAUUCAAAAUAAAUCAAAAAAAAAAUAAAAUCAAUUGAAAUUCUAAGAUAGAAACAAUUAUCAAAUUAAAUCAACCUAAACAAUUAUCAAAUAAAAGCUCGAAAAAUGAAAUGAACUUAAACAAACAAUCCAGAAUGGGCCCAAGGUGAGAUUGAAUGAAAGGCCUAAACGGAGUGGGGGUGCUGGACUGGAAAACAGGGUGCAGAAUAAUAAUUCUAUGGGCCUAGGCUCAUGCUGAUUCAACAAAGGGGAUCCAACGUCUCACUCACGUACCAGACCACGUCCCUCUAUUUCAAACCUUCCCUCCAACUCUGGCCGGCGAACCAAACCUCCGCCGCGCCGAAGCUCAUCGCCGCCGGUGGCGGAGCUCCAAACAUGAAAUCUAGGUACCAAAAUGGACCUCUCCACCUCACGGUUUCAAAUCCUCAAACCACAUAUCCUAAUUCUAAACUCACAAGACAAAUCGCGAUCAGACAUGUAUGAAUCCUAAGCUAAUCUAUCAGAAAUUAAACGCGAUAUAGUGGAAAUCAAGCACCAGCAGGUUAGGGCUUCGAUCUCCCUAACAUGAUACUGCACCGUGGAAAUCAAAUCAGAGAAGGAGCACAUGGAUUAAGCAAAUUACCCGCCGUAGACGACAACGGAGACGGCGACGACGAUGACAAUGAUCAUAGGUACACCUCUUCUCAACUUCCUCGUGCCUCUCUCCUUCCCCUCUCGCUUCUGGGACCUACUUUUGUUCAAUAGUCCAAGCGUGAGAAUAUUGGUAAUCGAGUGUUGAAGCUUCCAAUAGUGGUUUAGCUCAGCCGUGUCGAGCUUCGAAUGAUGAAGCUCUCACGACGAUGAAGUGAGCGUAUACUGAGGGUUGGGGAAGGAAUGCAAGAUUCUUUGGAUGAGGAAGAUUCGGUGCCAAUGAUUGGUAAUGAUUGCCUCAUUUAUAAUGUGAUUCACGAGGGUAAUUUAGGGAAUUGAUUUUGAGUUGUUAGGCCUUGAUUUAUC
RNAcentral lists this long non-coding RNA (1586 nucleotides) under Lathyrus oleraceus (garden pea). RNAcentral's name for it is "Pisum sativum (pea) long non-coding RNA (PSAT_LNC039339)". Lineage: Eukaryota; Viridiplantae; Streptophyta; Magnoliopsida; Fabales; Fabaceae. The record is from RNAcentral.